Molecule: ribosomal RNA, 647 nt
Filed under: Enterococcus faecium
Lineage: Bacteria; Bacillati; Bacillota; Bacilli; Lactobacillales; Enterococcaceae
Also listed under: 2 other names
Description: bacterial SSU rRNA
Rfam family: Bacterial small subunit ribosomal RNA
Source: RNAcentral
UCAGGACGAACGCUGGCGGCGUGCCUAAUACAUGCAAGUCGUACGCUUCUUUUUCCACCGGAGCUUGCUCCACCGGAAAAAGAAGAGUGGCGAACGGGUGAGUAACACGUGGGUAACCUGCCCAUCAGAAGGGGAUAACACUUGGAAACAGGUGCUAAUACCGUAUAACAAUCGAAACCGCAUGGUUUUGAUUUGAAAGGCGCUUUCGGGUGUCGCUGAUGGAUGGACCCGCGGUGCAUUAGCUAGUUGGUGAGGUAACGGCUCACCAAGGCCACGAUGCAUAGCCGACCUGAGAGGGUGAUCGGCCACAUUGGGACUGAGACACGGCCCAAACUCCUACGGGAGGCAGCAGUAGGGAAUCUUCGGCAAUGGACGAAAGUCUGACCGAGCAACGCCGCGUGAGUGAAGAAGGUUUUCGGAUCGUAAAACUCUGUUGUUAGAGAAGAACAAGGAUGAGAGUAACUGUUCAUCCCUUGACGGUAUCUAACCAGAAAGCCACGGCUAACUACGUGCCAGCAGCCGCGGUAAUACGUAGGUGGCAAGCGUUGUCCGGAUUUAUUGGGCGUAAAGCGAGCGCAGGCGGUUUCUUAAGUCUGAUGUGAAAGCCCCCGGCUCAACCGGGGAGGGUCAUUGGAAACUGGGAGACU